GGGUGCAGUCACCCUAUAGUUUUAACCCUGCAAUGAAUGUAAAACACUGCAGAUUUGUAGAAACUGCAAUGUUUCCACUGGAGGCUUAACACACCUCUAGUGAGCCGUUGUCCUUACAGCCACUAGAGGAGCUUCAAUGUUGAGAACCAACUCAUACUCUAUUCUUAAUCAAAUGCUGCUUCUACAGCAGCGUGGCAAUUUGCUGCACAUACACAC
Molecule: non-coding RNA, 216 nt
Organism: Pelobates cultripes (western spadefoot toad)
Lineage: Eukaryota; Metazoa; Chordata; Amphibia; Anura; Pelobatidae
Source: the annotation of a GenBank genome assembly